AGAAUCAACGCUGGCGGCGUGCCUAACACAUGCAAGUCGAACGAGAAAGUGGAGCAAUCCACGAGUAAAGUGGCGCACGGGUGAGUAACACGUGACUAACCUACCCUUGAGUGGGGGAUAACCUAGGGAAACCUGGGCUAAUACCGCAUAAUACCUACGGGUCAAAGGAGCAAUUCGCUUUAGGAGGGGGUCGCGGCAGAUUAGUUAGUUGGCGGGGUAAUGGCCCACCAAGACAGUGAUCUGUA
This 245-nucleotide ribosomal RNA is filed under the name uncultured bacterium. RNAcentral's name for it is "partial small subunit ribosomal RNA". It matches the Rfam family "Bacterial small subunit ribosomal RNA", at positions 26 to 285 of the family's 1533-position model. The record is from RNAcentral.